This 496-nucleotide ribosomal RNA is filed under the name uncultured bacterium. RNAcentral describes it as "partial 16S ribosomal RNA". It matches the Rfam family "Bacterial small subunit ribosomal RNA", at positions 29 to 507 of the family's 1533-position model. The record is from RNAcentral.
AUGAACGCUGGCGGCGUGCCUAAUACAUGCAAGUCGAGCGCACAGACGAGGAGCUUGCUCCUCUGACGUUAGCGGCGGACGGGUGAGUAACACGUGGAUAACCUACCUAUAAGACUGGGAUAACUUCGGGAAACCGGAGCUAAUACCGGAUAAUAUAUUGAACCGCAUGGUUCAAUAGUGAAAGACGGUUUUGCUGUCACUUAUAGAUGGAUCCGCGCCGCAUUAGCUAGUUGGUAAGGUAACGGCUUACCAAGGCAACGAUGCGUAGCCGACCUGAGAGGGUGAUCGGCCACACUGGAACUGUGACACGGUCCAGACUCCUACGGGAGGCAGCAGUAGGGAAUCUUCCGCAAUGGGCGAAAGCUUGACGGAGCAACGCCGCGUGAGUGAUGAAGGUCUUCGGAUCGUAAAACUCUGUUAUUAGGGAAGAACAAAUGUGUAAGUAACUAUGCACGUCUUGACGGUACCUAAUCAGAAAGCCACGGCUAACUACGUG